UCCUGCAGGUUUCUGUUUUAAAUCUGCACUGGUUUGCUUUGUGUCCACCCUUAUUACAUCGGUAACACAGUUCACUUCUUUGCAUUAUUUUCUUUGCUUUACUCACUGCAAACAUUUUGUUCACCGACAUUUUUACUCCUGACCGCAACUCCACCGUGUCUCUGGCAGCUGUUUCCAUGGCUACGGCAAUUUCAACUGCACGUUUGAAAGUGAGAUCAGCCUCCGUGAGCAAUCUCUUCUGAAUACUCUCUUGUAAAAUGCCACAGACUAGACGAUCUCUCAGCGCAUCAUUCAGUCCAUCCCCAAACUGACAGUGUUCAGAUAACUUUUUCAGCUCAGCUACGUACGCUGCGAUUGACUCUCCUUCGUUCUGAUUUCGCUUGUGAAAUCUGAAUCGUUCUGCUAUGAGAUGGUCUUGCAUCGUUUUUACAAUGUUGUCGAAGCUGACAUCAGCAGGCUUUGCAGGUGCAGUGAGGCUUCUCAGCAAUGCAUAUGCUUUUCCUCCAAUUGCACUCAACAACACAGACACACGCUUUUCAUUUCCAAUAUCGUUGGCUUUGAAAUACUGCUCCAUUCGUUCACAAUACAUUGUCCAAUCAUCCGUCCCACUGUCAAAAGCGUCAAGUUUUCCAAUAUAACCAGCCAGUUUGCACAAAGCGCUUCGGCGUCUUUAUCAUGUCCGUGUAAACCUCGUAGCCAAUUGUUGUGUUUGUGCGUGAUAAAAACUCAAUAAAGAGUCUAAACACGGGCGGGCAUUUCUUCUUAUUUUUCUUUACUGAACUGUCUGCAGUAAUGAAGCCGGAGACUUACGAGAAAAAAAGGAUGGCCAACAAAACACUAACUCAGUAUCAAUACAAAGAGUGGCCAACUAAUAUAUAUUCCUGAGUUCUAUCCAAUACACUACAACCUAAACUACAACAAAAGAUAGAAAAUAAAUCUUCAGCGUCCAGGACGCUCUAACUACCUACUCUAACUAGCCAAACCAAAAGUACAGAGGGUGGUGCUCGCUCCUAACCUAGUGUGUCUAAUACAGAACGGACCUCCUACGUGCUGCACCAUGUAUGUCACGUGACGUACUUACCUGCCCACUUUUCCCCAACACUAACAGAGUCACAACUAGGGUAACAAACAAAUUAACCAUACAAACAAGUGACUAGAACAAAGCGGGGAAACAUGGAACAACUGACAUACAAGGACAAACAGUAAGGCAGCGUAACUUUACACAGAACAAACAGAGAUACAACAGGGUUUUAGUUUUACGCAACCAGGACAACAACGUCUUCUCCAUGAAUGAAUGGCAGCGGGUUUUAAAUAGGCGGGGUCAGAGGUUGAUUGGAUGUCACGGCCGAUGACAUCAGCGGGGUUAAUUGAGACAGACAGGAACGUUAUCCAAUCAGGCAACCGCUGCAGAGAGAGAGAGAGAGAGAGAGAGAGAGAGAGAGAGAGAGAACAAAACACAAAAAACACGCGGACAUACCCCAGAACGUAACAUAUGUUAAUAUUUUUUCUUUAGUCUACAUAACUGAUUCUGUCGGUAAUCAUUACAGCCUUAUCACUGAUCAUGACUGACACCAGAAGUUUAAAGGCCUGUUUAAUGGCAUCAUCAGUGUUUCUCAGUUCAGGUUGAGAAUCACUGCUCAACAUACUUUAGAUGUUUUACCCAAUACAGCUGUGUAGCUAAUAAAAUAUCAAAUUAAAUUUGACCUUUGUGAUGUGUAUGGUCUGUUUAUUUUAGUUAUAGAGUCAUAUUAGCUUGCUAACUUAGUCACGGCUAAUGGACUCAGUAUCCACAGACUCUGUACGUGUUUGUAAUUGUGUUUUUAUGUUUUCUUCCUGCAUUCCACUGCACAAAGAAUCACCCACACAGCCAGCUGCCACAGAUGAUGGAGGAAUGAACUCUUCUCCCACUCUGAUGAUGGUCGUAUCCCUCCUCUUAUUAGCCAGUCAUUUCAGCACAAUAACAUGACAGGCAUACUUUAUGUUGAUUUUUUCCUUCAUUCUUCUUAUUAGGCAAAUGUCGGUCAGAUUUUGUGAACAGUUCAGCUUGAGGUAUGAGAGUGUACUGUUACCAGUUGCUGGUGUUUCUUUUACACUGGGUAACGAUUUGGCAGGGAGUAAAGUACUUUCCCUUCCUGAAGUGACCCGUUCACUACAAGUGAAGGUGUCCUUACCCAGCAGUAUCCCUAGUGUUCCCUACUUGUUCUUCAUGUGAACAGCUUGAACUUGAACUAGGUGUGCGGUUACGCCUGAUGGGAAGCUCUGGUACGUUAUGUUAGGUGAUGACUGUUGACUUCAUCUGUCACUGCUCAUUACUAUAUACUAAAAUUCUUGCAUGUUUGUACAUUUCUACCUUUUUAUUUCAUAUUUUUCAUGAUUGUAUUUUUGUCUGUACUUUAUUCCUUUGUAUGUUGCGGCCAGUCCUUCGGUGCUUGGCCCCCUAAUAACAAUAAUACAUUCUCUUAAAAGAUGUUUUAGUAAAUGUAUUUUUAUUUGGAUUAAUGCUUUGUAGUGUCUCUUUAAACUCACCAUUUUUAAAUGUAAAGGAUUAUAAAAACAUUUAGCCUGUACACUCAUAAA
Molecule: long non-coding RNA, 2577 nt
Organism: Pangasianodon hypophthalmus (striped catfish)
Lineage: Eukaryota; Metazoa; Chordata; Actinopteri; Siluriformes; Pangasiidae
Exons: 2
Source: RefSeq, a predicted model, not a curated record